RNAcentral lists this ribosomal RNA (482 nucleotides) under uncultured bacterium. RNAcentral's name for it is "partial 16S ribosomal RNA". It matches the Rfam family "Bacterial small subunit ribosomal RNA", at positions 28 to 507 of the family's 1533-position model. The record is from RNAcentral.
GACGAACGCUGGCGGCGCGCUUAACACAUGCAAGUCGAGCGAUGAAAUCUUAACAGAACCCUUCGGGGUGAAGAUAAGACGGAUUAGCGGCGGACGGGUGAGUAACACGUGAGUAACCUGCCUUUUACACAGGGAUAGCCUCAGGAAACCGGGAUUAAAACCUGAUGAAACUUUCAAAUCACAUGAUUAAGAAAGUUAAAACUCCGGUGGUAAAAGAUGGACUCGCGUCCCAUUAGCUAGUUGGUGAAGGUAACGGCCCACCAAGGCAACGAUGGGUAGCCGGCCUGAGAGGGUGAACGGCCACAUUGGAACUGAGAAACGGUCCAAACUCCUACGGGAGGCAGCAGUGGGGAAUAUUGCACAAUGGGGGAAACCCUGAUGCAGCGACGCCGCGUGAGCGAAGAAGGCCUUCGGGUCGUAAAGCUCUUUUAUAUGGGAAGAUAAUGACGGUACCAUAAGAAAAAGCCCCGGCUAACUACGUG